Non-coding RNA from Rattus norvegicus (Norway rat), 13894 nucleotides. The record is from RefSeq and is a predicted model, not a curated record. NCBI's taxonomy places the organism in Eukaryota, Metazoa, Chordata, Mammalia, Rodentia, Muridae.
CUGCCUACAGGAAACACACCUCAGAGACAAAGACAGACACUACCUCAGAGUGAAAGGCUGGAAAACAACUUUCCAAGCAAAUGGUCAGAAGAAGCAAGCUGGAGUAGCCAUUCUAAUAUCAAAUAAAAUCAAUUUUCAAUUAAAAGUCAUCAAAAAAGAUAAGGAAGGACACUUCACAUUCAUCAAAGGAAAAAUCCACCAAGAUGAACUCUCAAUCCUCAUCUUCGGUUGGUUUAUAUACAAGUGUGCAAUUUCUAGGCUUGAAAGUAAAAUGAUGCUAUCUGGUGCUGGAUAGAGGAGCCUUAUUUUUUAUUAUGGCAGCUUGCUAUUUUUGUAACAUGGUGAUUUGGUUGAACACAAUAAAGUACAGUAGUAACUGAAAAAAAAAUAAAAGGGGAACAAGAAUACCCUUGGCAGGGAAUAGAGAGGCAAAGAUUAAAACAGACACAGAAGGAACACCCAUUCAGAGCCUGCCCCACAUGUGGCCCAUACAUAUACAGCCAUCCAAUUAGACAAGAUGGAUGAAGCAAAGAAGUGCAGGGAGACAGGAGCCGGAUGUAGAUCGCUCCUGAGAGACACAGCCAGAAUACAGCAAAUACAGAGGCAAAUGCCAGCAGCAAACCACUGAACUGAGAAUAGGUCCCCCGUUGAAGGAAUCAGAGAAAGAACUGGAAGAGCUUGAAGGGCCUCGAGACCCCAUAUGUACAACAAUGCCAAGCAACCAGAGCUUCCAGGGACUAAGCCACUACCUAAAGACUAUACAUGGACUGACCCUGGACUCUGACCUCAUAGGUAGCAAUGAAUAUCCUAGUAAGAGCACCAGUGGAAGGGGAAGCCCUUGGUCCUGCUAAGACUGAACCCCCAGUGAACUAGACUGUUGGGGGGAGGGUGGCAAUGGGGGGAGGAUUGAGAGGGGAACACCCAUAAAGAAGGGGAGGGGGAGGGAUUAGGGGGAUGUUUGCCCGGAAACCUGGAAAGGGAAUAACUCUAGAAAUGUAUAUAAGAAAUUCUCAAGUCAAUAAAAAAAAAAAAAAAGAAAUGUGGAGGUCAGGGGCUAGGGAGUAGUUUGGUUGGUAGUGUGCACGCUCAGCAUGCAUAAAGGCAUGAAUUUGAUCCACAGUAUAACACAAAGGAGGUGUAGUAGUGGACAACUCUAUCUUCAGCCUGCAGGAGGCAGAACCAGGAGAAUCCAUUCAAGGUUGUCCUCAGUUCAAACUGUGUUUAAGGCCAUCUUGGGGCAUAUGAAAAUCUCUCUCCCCGAACAGAAACAAUAACAAACCCAUGAAAUAAAUUUUGCUUAAUAUUUAAAAAAAAAGGUAUUUGUACCUUUGGAGGCCAGAAGAAGGUGGUAAAUUCUCUUGGACUGGAGUUACAGAUUGUUGUGACGUGAGUGCUGGAAACUGAGCCCGGGUUCUCUGGAAGAGCAACAGAUGUCGUUAACUGAUGAGGCAUCUUUUAAUUCUAUCUUAAAUAUUUAAAAUCCAUGUUCAUAUUAAAAAUGCUUUAUUCGUUCUUUUUAAAAAUUUGUCUUGUCUACCUAUGUGCGUGUGCCUCUGGUGUGCACAGAACCAGAAGAUGGUGUCAGAUACUCUGUGACUGGAAUUAGAGGCAGGGAGGCUGUGGGAGGAACCACUGAAUGAGAAGGAGAUUGGUGUGACUGCAGACACGACAGGAGUACUGGAAGGCGCUGAUUUAUAGAAAGAAAUUCACUGUGCAUUGAGAUGUCCAUUCUUGUGUCUCAGAUUUGCACAAGUAUCUUGUGAGCACCAUCAUUCCUUGGUUAUGAACUCGGGUUCUACCCAGUGACAAAGUAGAAGGGGAUGAUGGUCUGUCGUGUCUGAAUGUCUAUGCCAUUUGAACCAACUUUUGAUUUUGUUUUCAUUGCCUUUGGGCCGUUUGCUUAUGUGGCAGGGAUUCUACCUACAAAGCACAUGGUAUGGCCUGAAGUAAAGUCUGCUGUAGAGCCAUGGCUUCUUCCUUUGCAUCAUCUUAGAUUGGCCAAACCACAGGCCAUUUACUAAGGCACGAGCCACUCUGAUGAUGGUAUCUCGGCUGUCUUUUCUUGUUCUGAUGUUUAUUCUACCUUUGCAGCAGACCCCUAUCCCCUGUCAUCUUGGAGAUUAGUAGAGAGAACAAGACACAGAGAAGCGAUGAAAACACAGCAGUCCAGUUGCCAAGGUCUCGUAGUGCUUACUGGUCUCUCUGAGGAUUGGUAGUUUCUACGGUAGUGGUAUAAUUCUGUGGGGCUCGGAUUUGCUGAGGUUGGUGAGGGUUUCAAUUUUGUUUAUUUGUCCUCCCUUAUUUACUAAGUGGACUUGUUCUACACAAAAGAACAUCAAGGAUUACAAUUCAGCAGUCACUCAGACGAGCUUCAUGAAGAUGUCUCUCCUUGAUGUUGGUCAUCGCUGUGGUUGUGGGACAUCUCUUCUGGUUGUUUUAAUUGUCACUACAGCGUUCAGACAAUGGUCUCAUGUGCAGCAGGGCUGAAAGCAGAAGGUUAUGUAUAGACAUAUUUUCUCUCACUCCCAGUUCUUCACUUAACAGUGACAGAAUUUGUGGUGGCGUGCUUUCUGUCUGAAAACCCUGUCCUUUUGUCUCUGGGAAAUGAGUGGAGAGAUAGUUUAGUAACAUAGGAUUACUGACUGAAGCUGAAGAUGCUGUGGGAACUAUCUUUUCAGCUGGGUUGUUUGGGAAACAGAAGGAUUUUUUUUAAUCUUCAUUCACUCUUAAAGUAGGAAUUAUAACUACAAUUUUCAAAUGGGAAAGGUGUUAAUAUUUAGGUGUACUAAGCUGACAUAUUUUUAUGUGUAUUGAGUAGAAGAGGUGUAGUUGCUACUUCCUGCUCACUUUAACUCUCUUUUGGUGUAAGAAUAAAAGGGGAGGUGAAUCAGGAGCUGAAAGUGUGAACUGCUCUUAUAGAGUACCCAAGUCUAGUUCCCGGCACCCAUUUCGGGUAACUUACCAUUGCUUGUAUCUCCACCUCCAGGAUAUCUGAUGUGCUGAUGGGCACCUGAACAUACAUGCACUUACCCCCAGCAUGUAAUUAAAACAAAAUAAACCUUAAAUGAAUAAGGAAAGGCAGUGACAAUAAAGAAUCACUUAAAAAUAACAAGAUGGAGGGCUAAAACAUUGGCAUCUGUCACUAGAAUACUGUAGCCAAAACAUACUUAAAAUAUCUUAAAUAUCAAUUUGCUGUAUGAACCUCCGAUGAAGCCGGCAUCUCAACCAAUCUGUAUUCAUAUACGUAGGUCUUCCUGCUCAUAAGUCUGUGUUUAAUAGGGCAGCCUCCAAUAGGGUUUUUAGUUAGUUUAAUAAAUAUUUAUUGUGAAGCAUUGUGUUGCAGGGACAAAGAUGACUAGAAAGAGUUCAAAGUAGCAAUUAAAGAAACAAAAGGAUAAAGUAAGAACAUUCUGUAUGCUCAAGUGAUUGUGAAAAGGAAAAUCUGGACAGUAUGCCGGGUAUGUGUGGGGCUACCCUUAGGGCUAUCCUAAGCAUUCAAGGGUAGGGUGCUUGUACCUUUCCGGGAGAGCACAUCUAUUUAUCCUUGAUUCCAAAACUGUUUUCUUUCAACGAAUCUGAUUUUGAUUUUGCCUUGCCUGGCGGUGUUUUCAGCCUGUUGGCUUUUGUGGUUUAUUGUAGAAACUUGUUUCAAGGUCUGAGUUCUGCCUUUGAUUACGUAAUCUUUGAGCUCUUUGAUCGUCAUUCACAGCCCGUUUAUCUUUCGUUUUGAAAUUCAGAAUAAGAUAUAGAGUAAAGUGCUGAGAGACUCAAUGAAGGAAAACAGUAAUGGAAAAGAAAAUCAUUAUAUGACCUAUUAGCACACUCAAAGGAUGAGGCCUGGUGCUCCAGGCAGUCCUGCCCAAGUCCUGUCACUAUCAGAAAAGCCCUCCUGGCCCAUUCAGAAGUAUUUAUUUUUCAUCAAUGGUGCUGGAGGUUGAAAUUAGGGGUCAGUGCAGAUAACAGAAAUACCAUAAUACUAAAAGAUUUCGUCAGCCUUUUUAAAAAAAGAAAUCAAUAAGUCAGAAAGACCUUUCCAAAUCUCCAAGUCCUCUUUCAGGUAUCCCAAGAAAUCUACCAGAGAACUGUCUUAAAGAUAGCUAGAGAAAAAAAAAUUCAUUUUAAUUUAAAUUAUUUUAUUUACAUUCCAGUCAUUCUUCCUCCCAAGUCCCCCCUCCCACAGUUUCUCAUUCCAUUCCUCCUCCCUUUUGCCUCAGAAAGAGUGCUCUCCUCCGUACCAGGCCUCCCCCUUCCCUGGGGCCUUAAGUCUCUCAAGGAUUAAGCGCAUCUUCUCUCACUGCAGCCAGACCAGGUAGAUCUCUGCUACACAGGCACCAGGGGCCUCAGACCAGCCUGUGUAUGCUCCUGGUUGGUGACUCAGCCCCUGGGGCCCGAGAUAGCUGAGACUGCUGCUCUUCCUAUGGGGUCGCUCAACCUUUCAGCUUCUUCAAUCCUUCUCCUAAUUCAACCAUGGGGAUUCCUGACUUUAGUCUAAUGGUUGGGUAUUAAGUGUCUGCAUCUGUCUCAGUCAGCUGCUGGUAGGGCCUCUCAGAGGAUAGCCAUGCCAGGCUGUUUGUAUCCCUACCCCUUAUGAGAUGGAUCCCAAGUUGGGCCAGCACCGUACCUCCUUUUGUUCAGUCACCAUUUUUGUCCCUGCAGAUCUUUUAGACAGGAACAAUUCUGGGUCAGGAAUUUUGACUGUGGGUUAGUAGUCCUGUUCCUCCAUUUGAGGCCUGUAGAGUUCUUUUCCCCCACUCUUGAGCAUUUUGGCUCAGGUUACCCGCCCCCCCUACGCCCCUCACACCUAAUGACUCCCGAGAGAGAGUCUCACUUCAGGGGUCUCUGGUACUCCUCACCUCCCAUUCCAGGAAGCUGCUUAUUUCCAUUCAUUCUCUUGCUCUCUGGGCUUCUCUCCUGUCCCCUCCCCCCAUAUCUGUUCCUGUUCCCCUUUUCUGCUCCCCUCCCCUUUCCCACCUAGGUCCCUCCAUCCUCCAUCCUUCCACCUCCCGUGAUUAUUUCCUUCCCCUUUCUAAGUGUGGUUGAAGCCUCCUCACUUGGGCAUUUCUGCUUGUGGAUGAUCCCCCCAUCCACUUCCUUUGUGUCAGAAUAACCUAGAGACUAACUUGGGAAAUUUUCUGAACAUCAUCAAUACAUAUCCAAACCUGAUGCAAAGCUCUUUGAUGCCCAGUACAAACAAUGGUGUUUGUGCUGCCCUCACACAUAGAUCCAAGGCAGGAGGAUAUUACGAUCGUGAUAUUUCAAAAUCACAAGCAUACCUCAACUACCAAAUGAGUGAGCAUUUCAGAGAGAAUAGUUGUGGAGUUUGCACAGAAAACUCGAACAGUGUGCCUAAGGCUUGAAGAAAUAAGUUUGGUAAUACAGAAUAGGGGUGAAAUGGAAGUGUGUCUUAAGGUGGAUGGCUUGUUGUGCUUGAAAUGACAACGUAGAUGUGUUUGAGAUGACGGAGUAGGAGCAUCCAGCUGUGUUUCCAGUUGGCAGUAUAUGGUGGACUAUUAGACGAACUGGCUUUGGUUAUACUCAAACACAAUGCUCAGACGAUCCAGUUUCCCAAAGCAGUUAAGGUGCUUAUUGUGUUUAUUUGUGUUGUGUUUCUGAAUGAUGACAGAAAGGCUCCCUACUUCCUCCUUGGGCAGCUAAAUACUUUUUUAAAUGGAAGGUUCCUACUAGUACCUGGAUAGAGGAUAUUAUGCAAAAUGUACCAUACAUUCAUUUCACUUUUUUAUUAAUACAUAUAUUCUAUAAAGUAGCAAUGAAGUAGCAAAAAAAAUGAAAAAUACAUUUCAUGACAUUUUCACACAUUUGUAUUAUGCACUUUGAUCUACUUCCCAGUUAUGUAUUAUUCCUUUCCAUUUUUCACAUUCAAAACUAAAAAUUACAUUCUCUUGUAUGUCUGUGUAUGAGUGUACAUAGGAGAGAGCUACAUGGUGUGUGUGUGUGUGUGUGUGUGUGUGUGUGUGUGUGUGUGUAGGUCAGAGGAAGCUGGUUCUUUCCUCUCACCAUGUGGGUCCUGGACAUCGAAGUCAGCUCAGUAGCCUUGGUGGCAGUGGCCUUCCCUCCCUGAGCCAUCUUGGCAGCCCCUUUGUUUCUUUUCUUGCUGGUCCUUGUCUUUCCCAUUGUUCCAUUUUGCUUUCACGCUCUAUUAUUUUGAAACCUAGAUUCCACACAGGAGAGACUACACAGUUUCUUGUCUUGUUUUACUUCUAAGAUUUACUGCUUGGUGUCUGGUUCUUUUGUGAUGUUCAGUAGGAUAUUAUCUAGAACAUCCUUUUCAGAUCGAUCAUAAUAUCAAAUAUCCAAAUGUGAGAGGCCGUCUGCACUCUCUUUACUGUUAUAUUAGCUGGCGUAAUCUGCUAUGCUGUAUGAUGCAUAGUAUCGUAUAAAACUAUUUCUUUUUGGACGAACUCCAUAAAAUCAAAGCCAGAAGUUUGCCUCAGGAAAAUGAUAGAGUGAGAAAUUCCCCCCAUUUUAGAAGGCAGUUAAUCGUAUUUCCUGUUUCAAAAUCAAGUACAAUGGGACAUAUUUUCUUUGCUACUUCAUUUCUAAGGAAAUCUUACAUGAGAAGAAUCAAAUUAUUUAGCAGAAACAUCAGAUGUUGGUCCACCUGUCUGAUUACUGUUAAGAACUCUAAUCUUGUAGUUAGGUAAAUAUCUUAAUUAGAUCACAUGCCACUUCAGAUCCAGUAGAAUGCAUCCAAAGCUGGAAUUUUGCUCAGAAAUUUGAGCCCGUGUUGGUUGCUAUGGUGCUUAUUCAUACAGAGUCAAGCAUCUACCAGUACAACCCACAACACCAUAUUUGCAAACCCAGAUUCUAAGCUUUGCUGGUGAUCUUGGGCCUCAGCUACCUGUUUAGGACUAAUGUGUCUUGUGAGGCUGAUGUGGGUCUGAGGUAACACACUCGCUGUGUGAAGCUCUUGGCCGGAGGGCGCUUUCUGACAUUUGCCCCUCUGUUAUAAUGUUGCAAUAACCUUUUUAUUUGUCAUCACUUUAUGUAUUGGUUAAAGCACUCAAGUGACUUUACAAUCUUAUAUUUUUUCAUUUUCUAUUUAUAUUAUAUUAUAAAUUUUAUAUUUAUAUUUCAUUCAGUCAUGAAAUAUUUACUACUACUCAGACAUGAUAAAAAAGCAUGAUCCUUACUUCUAAAUUCAGUCUGAUUAUCCAAAUGAUGUCAUUGGAAAGGCCACUUAACUAAGUCUAAAAUAAUCAUCUUUCUCAUUUUGAACACAUCUUCUGUUAUUCAGUCCUGUGGUUUGUUAACCAGUGAUCACAUGGGCAGAACACCAAAACUACUUGGAAAAAUUCUCUCCAAAAUACUGAUCCCUGGGCCCUAGGACCAUUAGUUGAGUCAGACUUUUAGGGUUUGUGUGUCAUUAAAAAGCUCCCAGGGGACAUAGGGUUGGGACUCACUGGGCUUGUCUGUACUUUAUUCUGUUUUACAUCCGUUAACUAUGCCAUCCUUGUCUGUUAGCCUUUGUUAGCCUCAGAAUACAGCUUCUGUUCCUUUUUUCACCAUGCACAUGGGACCUUCUUCUCCCUGUUUGGUGCAUUCAAUACUUGAUUUCUAUAUAUUUUAUCAUUUAGGAUUAUUGGAAAAGUAUGAUUGAAAAAAAGCCCCCUAUAACCAUGUCUUCUGUAUGAUUUGCUUUUCAAGUUAGUGUCUAAGUCUCUUAUGGAAGAGAUUGGAUGCUCUGGUUUUGUUGUGGCUCACCAGUCACAGUGAGCCUUGCAUUGCUUCUGACCAUAACAGGCAUGAAUGGUCAGACCAAUGGGCUCACUUCUGCAAAUCUCACCCCUUCCUCUAACCUAUUUUGGUUUUGCCAUCUGUGGGAUAUCAACAUGAGCUAUUGAAUUUUUAAGUCUGAAUUUCUAACUGCAAAUUUCAUUCUUUUAAUCAGCUAACAUUCUUUGGCCUUUAAACUUACCUUUUCACUAAUUCAAAUGAAGCAGUUAGAGAAGUUAAUCUCUGGAUGUUUUGUAGGGGCCUAUAGGAUAAAGUCAUAGCAUGAUAUUGCACGUACUUCCUUGGAACGCAGACUGUAUCACAUCUGUCUUUGUAUCUCAGGCAGACCAGAGAGAGAAGAGAGGAGAGGAAGGACUAGGAGGAGAGGAGAUGUGGAGAAACAACAUGGAGAGAGCAGGAGGAUUGCCAUGAGAUUGAAAUGAAAGAGUAGACACAGAGACCCGUGGACCAGAGUGAGCCAAGGCCAGACCCAUAGGCACAAGGGGAGGUCAAUGGGAGAGUCUGAAGAGAAGCAUCAAGAGGUCUUGGUUCAAAGGAUUGGCCCCUUCAUGCACUCCAGCAGUUCAUUGAUGGAGUAGAUGUCAGAGUGAGCCAAUUCAAAGUCCGGGAUCUGGACCUGAGAAGCAUCUGAGCUGUUUCACCCACCAGCUUCCCUGCACCCACAACACUUGGCAAACUGGAAAAUGACGUCUGCAUAUAAUUCAGAGGUCAGCUGACUGUGGGAGCAAAGCCCCAACAGAUACAUCGAUGGCUGAACCCAAGACUCACAAUACCUUGUGGUAGAAGGGGCUUCACCAGAACUGUGAAGAAUCAGGCAACCAGGAAGUCUGCUUGAGAUCGUGUUUCCAAGGAAUAACGGGAGAGGUACAUCAAUGAUACCUCAACUAUAUGGAUGCCUAACAAGACUAGAACAGAGACAAUUUCAACAAACCUGCUAGGUAAUACAGAAAGGGGAACUUUCACUGGGUCCCACCUCUAGACACAUUACUACUGUCAAAUAAUGACUGCAGAGAGAGAGAGAGAGAGAGAGAGAGAGAGAGAGAGAGAGAGAGAGAGAGAGAGAGAACACAAGUCUCUGCCAGGAAUAAGUCCCUUCAUUUGUUAUCCAGCACAAAGUGGCCAGCCCUGAAACUGUAUACACAAAGUAAUACAAAAUAUAUUCACCAGGCUGUAUUUAUACCUUUACAUAUAUGCAUAUAUACACACAUAUAUGAAUGUAACUGUAAUAAUCAAUGAAAAAGACAACAUCAACUUCAGAGAGGGAAUGUGUUUGGGGCAGGUAAAGGGUUGGAGGGAGGAAAGGGAGGGUGAAAGUAAUAUAUAGUUAUAGUUUUAGUUAACAUAAAUACAUACAUGUUUUAAAAAUGGGGAUAAUUUGACCUUUUACUUUCUGAUGUAUAUCCCCUGUAUUUCUUUCUCUUGUAUUUAUUCUCUACCUAAGGCUUCAAAGGCUAUUCUGAGACAGAGUGGAGAAUGUGCACCCUGUCUUGUUCCCAAUUUUAGAGGAAGCAUUCUCAUUGACUCUCCCAUGUAAUAGAAAGCUAACAGUUUUCUGCAUAUGGUUUUAUGUCUUUUUGCCAACAUGUGAUCCUUUUAUUCUUAGAUUCUUCAGGGAUGUUAUUAGGAAAUCAUGUUAAACUUUUCCAUGUUAAUUGAAAUGAACAUGUGAUUUCUCUCUUUUGGUUUAUUUAUAAAUCAAAUCAUAAUAUAGAUAUUGGCUUAUGUGUCUUGAACACAUCUGGAAUGAAACCAAAUUGAUAGUAGUGUCUGACCUUAAUUAAGAUGUUCUUGAAUUUGGUUUAUAAGGAUUUUAUUGAGAUGUUUUGCAUCUGUAUCCACCAAGGAUUUCAAGCUAUAGCAGUUUCCUUCAUAUGUCCUUACUUGUAUGUCUUCAGAGUAAUACUCUAUCCAUGGGAUGAACUCAUAGUCUUUUUUCCCGUGUUGCUGUAUGGAGUAGUUUGAAGACCAUUGUCAUCUCUUUCUCAAAGGUGUCAUAAAAUUUGGCAGUGAACCCAUGCAAUCUUGAGCUUUUUGUUGUUAUUGGUAGAUUUUUAUAGUUUUCCUGAGAUGUCCACUGUAUUCUUGGUUUCUGAAUGUGUGGUUCCCAGUUGGUAACAGUAUUUGGGUAUCUUAGGGGCUGUGGCCUUGCUGGAGCAAGUGUAUCACUAUGGUAGGCUUUGAAGUUUCAAAAAAAAAUCAUAUGCACUUUCCAGUUUGCUUUCUCUGCUUCCUGUUUGCUGUGUGAGAUGUGAGCUCUCAGCUGUUCCCAUGUCAUCAUUGAUGGUGCUUGCCUUAAUGUUCCUCUACUGUGGUGGUGAUGGACCUUUAUCCUUUUGGAAAUAUAAGCCCCAAAUAAACCCUUUCCCUAAGUUGCCUUGGUGACGGUGUUGGAUUGCAGUAACAGAAAAGUAACCAACGCAGAGAUCUUUCAUUAUUAACUCAAUUUAAUUCACUGACAUGGGUCUGUUUAAACAGGUUAUGUACUCUACAUUUAAUUUUCUAGUCAUAUGUGUCCAUGCAUUUUUAUAUACUCUUUCUUCUAGAUUUUAUAAUGCUUUUGGAAAUACAAAAUUUUAAAGUAUUUCAUGAUUGUUCUCUCUGUGUUUCAUGAGUCUCUGUAGUAAUCAUUUUUAAAUUCUAAUUUUAUUAAUUUUCAGCUCUUUCCUUUGGUUAGUUUGGCUAUAGUCUCGUCAGUCUUGCUUUUUUUUUCUUCAGAGAACCAACUCCUUGAUUGAUUUUGUAUGUUUCUCUUUUAGUCUCUUCUUUAUGAAUUUCUGCUCUUACCUUUAUUCUUUCUUACACUCUACUGAUUUCUGGUUUGUAUUAUUAUCGUUUAUAUAGGAAAAUGAGAUAUAUCAUUAAGUUGUGUAAGGUUUUCUGAUUUCUUUUUAAUUUAAAAUUUCAUUUUGAUGAGAAUUUGAUAUACUGUAUUUACAUAAUUUAUAUCUUCCUCCCCCAAAGUUCUCUCAUGUCACUUCCUUUCAAGUUCAUGAUUCUUUUUGCUAAAAUUAUGAUUGUUUUGUGAGUGCACAUAUAACCCACACACAUACAUCUACCCCCACAGCCUAUUGAGCCCAUUCAUUAUUGUUCUUAUGAACACUAGUUCUUUGACUGACUGACUCCUUGGGACUACAUAACCUAUCAGGGUCACAUCCCUGGAGGAGACUGAUUCUCCCUCUCUUGGCAUUGAUUGAUUGACAUGGUUCUUCAUCUAGGGGUAGGGCCUUGUUAAAUUUAUCCUAUCCAUGUUGACUUCUUGACUGGUGCUGUCAUUAUGCAGGUCUUGGUUAGGCAACCAUAAGAAUGGGGAAACUGGAAGCUGUGGGUGUGUGGGUGGGGGAACACCCUCAUAGAAGAACGGGAGGGGUGAUGGGAUACAGGGUUUAUGGAUGGGAAACUGGGAGGAUAACAUUUGAAAUGUAAAUAAAUAAAAAAUAUCCCCCCACCUUAUCAUAACUAGAAGUCUAUCUGGCAGCAUGCUCCGUGGUCCUCUGGCUGUGUUCCUUCUUUAGUGACGUUCUGUAAGCCCUGUAUAUAGGCGUAGAUUUAUUAGCUGCUGCUGGACAUCCUGAUGUCACUAAGUCUCUGCAUUUUAAUCAGCUGUGGAUCUCUGUAGUAGCCUCUGUUGCAGAAAGAAACUUCGUUGAUGAGAACUGAAAGCUAUAUUUCCCUGUGGGUCUAAAGAUAAAUUUUUCGCAUACACCUAGAAAUUAGCAUGUAAAGAAUGUGACCAGGUUUCUGAUAAAAAUCUCAAUCCUUAGUCAAGAUCAGUAAAUUCAUAUUUGAGAGAAAUCUUAUGCAGAUAAUUUACCCUUUGAGGGGGUUAAUCAGGUGUUUAUACUUGAGAAAAGGAAGAUAUUUAUGUGUGGAAAUUCUUUACAAAUCUAAAGAAUGUAAUAAAUAAUAAAGAUGUAUGAAUAAUCAUAAAACUUUUAAUUGUUUAUAGUUUACUCAGUGUUAUGUGUUGUAGUAUAAUGAAGUAUACUGACACCAAAAGAGUGCAACUACUUCAUUUUAGAAAGGACAACACUUUGCUAUAAGGUCAAACUUAUAAAAAUCACCCCACUUUUAAGAACUACAUGAAACACAAUUUUGAGAAAUUUGACUCUGAAGAACAAGACUGUUCCUGCUAAAUGUCAGCCAGUAGUUUUAUUUAUACCACAUGUAGUGAAGUUUGAAAUACUGGAAAUUUGGAAUGUGGGUGAGCAUUAAUUAUUUGAAAGUUUAAAUAAAAGGUGCUUUAAAAAUAUGUAUUGUUAUAUCAUUAUGUAUUCAUCAAAAUUGUGGACUUACAACACUAAAUGUGAAUGUUAGUAUACACUAUCAUCAUAACGAACACAUUUUUUUUUUUGGUUCUUUUUUUCGGAGCUGGGGACCGAACCCAGGGCCUUGCGCUUCCUAGGUAAGCGCUCUAACCACUGAGCUAAAUCCCCAGCCCACGAACACAUUUUUAGGCAUGGUGGCCUAUGCCUGUUACUCCCACACUCACAGAACUUGUGUGGGAAGAUCCUACAUUUGAUACUAUCCUAAGUUAUGUAAUACUAUAUCUACAAAGAACACAUCAGAAGAAAAAAUAGAAAUAACAGAAACGCUCCACUCUGGUUUAAAUAUUUAUGGUAAAGAAGAUUGUGUGGAUAGAGGAAGAGAAAUGUGGAAACAUUUUUUUUUUCUCUUCAAUUUUGCUGUUAACCGAAAACUAUUUGAAAAACCCGUCUAUUUCAAAAAUAUUACAUUGACACCAUAGAGGAACACUCAGAUUUGGUGAGCACCGAUCUCUUGCUCACCUGCUGGAACAGAACUACACACUACUGCAGCACCAGUACUAGAAUCAUUGCCGUUUCCUGCCCCAGUGAUGGAAGAUCCACUACCUUACAGAGCCAUUUCCAUUGUUGGGCAGAACCAGGAUUCCAGAGCUCUUCUUUGUGUGAAACUGACGUCAGCCUCAUUGUGACUUCCAAUCACCGUGCGUCAUUCUUCCUGUUGGAACUACGUGGAAUAAAUCUAAUUUCUUAGCCACAUGAAGUCCAUUUAUAUAUUGGGAAGCAGAGUUCAUAGUCUCCCUGGCUCUAGCUCAUUCCACAUCUUUUUCCAAGGCUGAAGAUUCUUUGUAUUUUCAGUGGUUCUUUGUCUAAUGCAAUUUCCCGGCAAUUACUACCCUGAUUAAUAAGUCUACUCUUCUUAAUAUGUUAGUUUCUGAAAGUAUUAGCAUCCUGUUGGGCACGUGUAGUUAACCAUCUAAAAUGAAGACCUUCCUGACUCCAUUAACCUUCCGUUAACUCUGGUUGCUGUGCUAGGGCUGCUGGUGUGUAUUUGCUGAGUAUUAGCCCAAAUAAUCUUCCCGAUGGAAUAUGAUUACCAGCAUUGAACGUGGAGCUUUCCAUGAUAUGAUUUAGAGUUGAGUGGACCUUUGCCAGCCUUCAGCUACCUGCAACACAGAGUCUCCUGUACAUAAGACUCCUAACUCCUCCCCCUCACCUUAAAAUUAUUUUUCAAUGAAAGAAAAGAAAAAAGAAGAUCAUGUCCUAUGACCUUAUUUAUUUUAUUUCUUGGAGGCAAGAAUACAUCUACAUAUCUAAAGGUAUAAUUGAAAUACAGUGCUAUAAUUAUAUUUAAGGACAAAAAUCACAUGAUCAUCUCAACAAAGCAUGAACAUACCUUUGGUAAAAGUUAACACUCAUCUCAUGAUAAAGAAACCUUGAUUAAAUGAGGUAGAGGAAGAACAUCCUUUCACGUAUGUAGUAAGGGCUACCGUUUUGGUUACAAUUUUGUGUCAUUGUAAAGUAUUCAUAAAACACAUCUCCAAAACAGGUUGUGAACUCUUGUUCCUUUGUUGGUCUUAUGAAUUCUAACUGGUAGGGAUCCUAGAUUCCUCUGGUGGUGUAACCAGUUCCCUGCCCAGCCAUGGACCAGAGGGCUCCUCCUUUAAUGUAAGGAUUAAUGGUUCCAUGAAAGGGGCUUUUGGUGACAUCUUAGUUUCCUCAGACUGUUCUACAUUUGGCUACCCCAGACUACUAAGCUUUCAGUUCAUUUCUUGAAUUUUUAAAAAUGUAGAUUUCAUCUGAGUCUGGCAUUUUUCUAAGACUUCUCAAACCAUGCCACUUUUUGAGCUGCCUCACAGGUGGCCCACCUCACCAGUGGA